Lepisosteus oculatus (spotted gar) is the source of this 677-nucleotide RNA transcript. It is a transcript of the gene named dnaJ homolog subfamily C member 30, mitochondrial, with no coding region annotated. Lineage: Eukaryota; Metazoa; Chordata; Actinopteri; Semionotiformes; Lepisosteidae. The record is from RefSeq and is a predicted model, not a curated record.
UUGACCCCUGCGCUCGGACACAGGGGCAGCCAGCGCUGCGGCACCGACCCGAGACGGCCCGUCGGGCCCUGCCACGCUUGCCAGGCCAGAUCCCAAAGACCCGUGCAGAUAGGAGGGGACCCACUUCAGGCCCCCUGAAGCGCCGGCCCACUGGCAGGAGCCCCUGCACAGAAGUGCAACAGCUUCACUGGCUCAUCCCGGACUCGGGGGCUGGCGCCGCUGACGCCCCGGCACGCUGCCCGGUUUCGCAUCUCUCCCAGCGAGGCGUGUGUUCGGCCAGCCCCGCCCUUGUGGACGGGUUGGGCUUCCUGCUCAACCAGAGGCUCCCAAAAAAGCUUCACAUCUGGAAGAGGUCCCAUUUCACCCGCCUCUGAAGAGCUGCCCCACUGCACAGAUCAGGAAGGAGCGAGAAGGGACUGCACCCAUUGGAGGAAGGAGAGCUUCGGGAGGCCAGACUCUGGACGCCCAGAGGGGAGUCUAUCCAGGGCGCUGGGUGUGCACCCCUACUCUCACACGAGCUGCCACAGAGUCUUUGAAAGAGGAGUCAGACCCUUGAAGGCAAGUCCUACAGCAGUGUUCCCUCUCAUCAUACUUCAGUGGCAAAAUCAACUCUGUGGAAUAGAGAUUGGGAAAACUAAACACAUUAAUCUUCUGACGUUGUUCUCAUGAAAGUAAUA